This 1541-nucleotide long non-coding RNA is filed under the name Equus caballus (horse). Its description in RNAcentral is "lncRNA (ENSECAG00000048401.1)". Lineage: Eukaryota; Metazoa; Chordata; Mammalia; Perissodactyla; Equidae. The record is from RNAcentral.
CUGUCAUGGCAUAGACAAACCCUUCACUGGUGCUCCUGGGGAUGAGACCACCAAAGUCACUCAAGGCUGGGAUACAGAGACUCAUUCACAAAAAGAGCUUUUUAAAAUAUUGGCUUUUAUUAUCAAAUAUCAAGCAUAUCAAAAAUGUGUGGAGAAUCACCAUCACUCAGCUUUAAUAAACCCAAACCUUUCUCACAUUUGCUAUUUUUUAAUGCAGUAACACUGCAGAUACAAUUGAAGCAUUCCCUGUGUACACCUCAAUCUACCUUUCUCCUCCUCCUCUGAAGGUAAACAAACCAGAUUUUGGUAUUUAUGCAUGCUUUUACACUUUUAAAAGUGUACACAACACUUUUGCGUGUUCUAAAACUGCUAAAUCUUAUCACACAGCACAUAUCACUUGGUCAUUUUUAAGUCAUCAUUAUUUUUGAGAUGUAAUCAAGUUAAUACAUACUUUAUGUUAAUUCAUUUUAACAGCCAAAUACUACAAAUAUACCACAAUUUAUUUAUCCAUCCUUCUAAUGGACAUUGGUUCCAGGUUUUUACAAUUAAAAACAAUACCACAGUGAACUUUCUGUAUAUCUCCUUGAGUACACAUGCCAAGAAUUCCUAUAAAGUAUAAUACCCAGAGAUUGGGUUAGUGUAUAAGCAUCUUCAAAUAAACUAGAUGCUGCCAAACCAUUCUCCAAAGUAACAGCAAAUUUCAGUGACACCAGAAAUGAUGAGAGCCCAACACUCCAGACUUAGCAAUGUGUGGAAGUGUGAGGUUUAUGUUGUUUUCAUUUUUGCCCAUCUAAUGGCAGUAAAAUUGUAUAUCAAUGUUGUUUUAAUGUGCAAUUCUUUGAUUACUAGUGAGAUUAAGCAUCUUUUCCUAUGAAUGACUACUCAGGGAUCCUCAUCUAUGAAUUGCCCGUUCAUAUCCUUUGAUCAUUUUCUUGAUUCAUAUGGAGUCCUUUGUCAGGUGCAAGGCACAUUUUCUUGGUCUAGAAUUACCAUCUGCUUUGUAAUUGUUUGACUCCGCAAAAAUCAGAAGGCACUAACAGACAGCCAACCCAUCCCCAUGGUGCCCUGAGUGAAGACAAGUCAGCUUUGAUAUAUGAUGGACUAAAAUCCCACUACCUAAGGCUUCAAGCAGUGAGAGGAACAGCCAUCAAAGUUUAUCUCCAAUCAUUUUAGGAAACAGUUAAAGACAUUAAGUGACUUGUAGGAAUCACUACAUCUAAAUUUUUAAAGAGUCAGUCAAGAACUAGAAGAAAGUAUCAACUGGUCCAGCUAGAUACACAAAAUGAAGAAUUAGAUGAUAAAUUAGUGCCAAGAACAAGAUUAAUUAAUUAAAGAAAAUGUUAUUGAAACAAUUUUAUAGGGAUACACAUUAUAGUCCUUAUUACCAUUCUUUGCCUUAUUCUAAAACUAAAUUAGGUUUUGGGUGCUAGGGGUAAAGAUAAUAAGGGAUAGGCCAAUUGGCAGAAAGAUGCUCAGAAGCAAUCAAAACAAAGAAUUUUGGACAACGUAUUGUGCAGGUGUCAGAAACUGCCAAGUCAUAC